Molecule: ribosomal RNA, 795 nt
Filed under: Microbacterium sp. BR-62
Lineage: Bacteria; Bacillati; Actinomycetota; Actinomycetes; Micrococcales; Microbacteriaceae
Description: bacterial SSU rRNA
Rfam family: Bacterial small subunit ribosomal RNA
Source: RNAcentral
UGCAAGUCGAACGGUGAAGCAGAGCUUGCUCUGUGGAUCAGUGGCGAACGGGUGAGUAACACGUGAGCAAUCUGCCCCUGACUCUGGGAUAAGCGCUGGAAACGGCGUCUAAUACCGGAUACGAGCUGCGAAGGCAUCUUCAGCAGUUGGAAAGAAUUUCGGUCAGGGAUGAGCUCGCGGCCUAUCAGCUUGUUGGUGAGGUAAUGGCUCACCAAGGCGUCGACGGGUAGCCGGCCUGAGAGGGUGACCGGCCACACUGGGACUGAGACACGGCCCAGACUCCUACGGGAGGCAGCAGUGGGGAAUAUUGCACAAUGGGCGCAAGCCUGAUGCAGCAACGCCGCGUGAGGGAUGACGGCCUUCGGGUUGUAAACCUCUUUUAGCAAGGAAGAAGCGAAAGUGACGGUACUUGCAGAAAAAGCGCCGGCUAACUACGUGCCAGCAGCCGCGGUAAUACGUAGGGCGCAAGCGUUAUCCGGAAUUAUUGGGCGUAAAGAGCUCGUAGGCGGUUUGUCGCGUCUGCUGUGAAAACUGGAGGCUCAACCUCCAGCCUGCAGUGGGUACGGGCAGACUAGAGUGCGGUAGGGGAGAUUGGAAUUCCUGGUGUAGCGGUGGAAUGCGCAGAUAUCAGGAGGAACACCGAUGGCGAAGGCAGAUCUCUGGGCCGUAACUGACGCUGAGGAGCGAAAGGGUGGGGAGCAAACAGGCUUAGAUACCCUGGUAGUCCACCCCGUAAACGUUGGGAACUAGUUGUGGGGUCCAUUCCACGGAUUCCGUGACGCAGCUAACGCAUUA